RNAcentral lists this ribosomal RNA (843 nucleotides) under Psilocybe chuxiongensis. Its description in RNAcentral is "LSU rRNA". It matches the Rfam family "Eukaryotic large subunit ribosomal RNA", at positions 87 to 915 of the family's 3401-position model. The record is from RNAcentral. Lineage: Eukaryota; Fungi; Basidiomycota; Agaricomycetes; Agaricales; Agrocybaceae.
CUGCGAGUGAAGCGGGAAAAGCUCAAAUUUAAAAUCUGGCGGUCUUUGGCCGUCCGAGUUGUAAUCUAGAGAAGUGUUAUCCGCGCUGGACCGUGUACAAGUCUCCUGGAAUGGAGCGUCAUAGAGGGUGAGAAUCCCGUCUUUGACACGGACUGCCAGGGCUUUGUGAUGCGCUCUCAAAGAGUCGAGUUGUUUGGGAAUGCAGCUCAAAAUGGGUGGUAAAUUCCAUCUAAAGCUAAAUAUUGGCGAGAGACCGAUAGCGAACAAGUACCGUGAGGGAAAGAUGAAAAGAACUUUGGAAAGAGAGUUAAACAGUACGUGAAAUUGCUGAAAGGGAAACGCUUGAAGUCAGUCGCGUUGGCCGGGAAUCAACCUUGCUUUUGCUGGGCGUACUUUCCGGUCGACGGGUCAACAUCAAUUUUGACCGUUGGAUAAAGGCUUAGGGAAUGUGGCUUCUUCGGGAGUGUUAUAGCCCUGGGUCGCAUACAACGGUUGGGAUUGAGGAACUCAGCACGCCGCAAGGCCGGGUACUUGUACCACGUUCGUGCUUAGGAUGUUGGCAUAAUGGCUUUAAUCGACCCGUCUUGAAACACGGACCAAGGAGUCUAACAUGCCUGCGAGUGUUUGGGUGGAAAACCCGAGCGCGUAAUGAAAGUGAAAGUUGAGAUCCCUGUCGUGGGGAGCAUCGACGCCCGGACCAGAACUUUUGGGACGGAUCCGCGGUAGAGCAUGUAUGUUGGGACCCGAAAGAUGGUGAACUAUGCCUGAAUAGGGUGAAGCCAGAGGAAACUCUGGUGGAGGCUCGUAGCGAUUCUGACGUGCAAAUCGAUCGUCAAAUUUGGG